UCUCAUGCUGUGACCCUCCCGAGGGAAGCACUUUCUGUUUGAAAGAAAAGAAGUCGCUUCCCUCAGGGGGUUACUGUUUGAGA
Callithrix jacchus (white-tufted-ear marmoset) is the source of this 83-nucleotide non-coding RNA. NCBI's taxonomy places the organism in Eukaryota, Metazoa, Chordata, Mammalia, Primates, Cebidae. The record is from Rfam.